GAGUUUGAUCCUGGCUCAGGACGAAGCGGCGGCGUGCUUAACACAUGCAAGUCGAACGGAGCUGUUUAUUUCGGUAGAUAGCUUAGUGGCAAACGGGUGAGUAACGCGUAGGCAACCUGCCCUUAGGAUGGGGACAACGGCCCGAAAGGACCGCUAAUACCGAAUGGACUCUAACUUUCGCAUGGAAGAAAGAGAAAAGAUGGUGCAAGCCAUCGCCGAAGGAAGGGCCUGCGUCUGAUUAGCCAGUUGGUGAGGUAACGGCUCACCAAAGCGACGAUCAGUAGCCGGUCUGAGAGGAUGAACGGCCACAAUGGGACUGAGACACGGCCCAUACUCCUACGGGAGGCAGCAGUGGGGAAUCUUCCGCAAUGGGCGAAAGCCUGACGGAGCAACGCCGCGUGAGUGAAGAAGGUCUUCGGAUCGUAAAGCUCUGUUGUUGGGGACGAAAGAAAAGGGGAGGAAAUGCCCUUUUUAAGACGGUACCCGACGAGCAAGCCACGGUUAACUACGUGCCAGUU
RNAcentral lists this ribosomal RNA (518 nucleotides) under uncultured bacterium. RNAcentral's name for it is "bacterial SSU rRNA". It matches the Rfam family "Bacterial small subunit ribosomal RNA", at positions 9 to 513 of the family's 1533-position model. The record is from RNAcentral.